Jaculus jaculus (lesser Egyptian jerboa) is the source of this 106-nucleotide small nuclear RNA. NCBI's taxonomy places the organism in Eukaryota, Metazoa, Chordata, Mammalia, Rodentia, Dipodidae. The record is from Ensembl.
UGCUUGCUUCAGCAUUCCAUAUACUAAAAGUGGAACAAUACAGAGAAGAUGAGCAUGACCCCUGCAUGAGGAUGAUAUGCAAAUUAGUGAAGUGUUCCAUAUUUUG